AGCACAGAGGGGGCAGAGAUUUUUACAUCACUAUCUAGCUUUUCGAGGGCCCGGUGAACAAUCCGGACAAUCGCCAUCAUGGAUUUGCAACAGGAAAAAGCUACAGUAUGCCAGUC
Thalassophryne amazonica is the source of this 116-nucleotide long non-coding RNA. RefSeq lists it as uncharacterized. The transcript has 3 exons. NCBI's taxonomy places the organism in Eukaryota, Metazoa, Chordata, Actinopteri, Batrachoidiformes, Batrachoididae. The record is from RefSeq and is a predicted model, not a curated record.